Molecule: long non-coding RNA, 805 nt
Organism: Mya arenaria
Lineage: Eukaryota; Metazoa; Mollusca; Bivalvia; Myida; Myidae
Exons: 3
Source: RefSeq, a predicted model, not a curated record
AAAUAGUCCAUCAUGGCCGACCAAGAAGAUGUUCAAACAACCAAGAGAUAUGUUAGACCAAAGACAGAAUGAGGAGCGUAACUUUUACCACUUAUUUGUGUAGAGCAGUAUGGUACCAGUGGUGCAGCCGACUCUGAAUUCCUGGCUUGUUCUAAUGAAAAAAGGCGGAUGAGGCACUUGAAUCCGAAUGAAAUCAAAAAUGCCAUUGUAUGAGGAUUGACCUGCAAUGCAUGGAAAUCAUCUAACACAACUACAACGCCUACCUUGGGGAAAUGAGUGCAAGAUGGAAACAAAGCGUUCAGUGAAACAUCUUGUCAUCUCAAAUAUUUGAUGACUCAAUACUGAUGGGAAGUUGCAGAUAAAAGUCAUUUGUUGGCCUGUGAUUAUUAGAUACACCCAGACACAUAAAAGGGUUAUAUGGUAAAGGAUUUAUCUACGCUGAAAGUAGUUUUCCUAUAUUAAGGAGGGAAGAUAACUACAAAAACAGAAACAGAUGGCAUUGGCAGACCAAAUAAAGAACUAUUUUGUUCAGUUAAUUUUUUAAGACUUUAGAAAAGCCUUUAAUAGGGCACAUCCUUGCAAAGGAUGUCUGUACGUGUUUCUACUUUGGCAACAGACUGAAAGAGUGCUUUCAGCUUGCAUAGCAAUCUGAUUAGGCAUAAAAUAAGAUACUAGCUGAAUUGCAAACAGUUUUUCCAUUGGUGUUGAUUUGUUUUUCAGUCUGUUGGAAUGUUUAUUUGAAGUGAUGAGCAUUGCUUACCGCAACCAAUAUUUAUUUUCUUUUUUAAGUUGAAUUUAACAAACA